RNAcentral lists this ribosomal RNA (689 nucleotides) under uncultured Microbacteriaceae bacterium. RNAcentral's name for it is "bacterial SSU rRNA". It matches the Rfam family "Bacterial small subunit ribosomal RNA", at positions 95 to 798 of the family's 1533-position model. The record is from RNAcentral. Lineage: Bacteria; Bacillati; Actinomycetota; Actinomycetes; Micrococcales; Microbacteriaceae.
GUGGCGAACGGGUGAGUAACACGUGAGCAAUCUGCCCUUGACUCUGGGAUAACUGCGGGAAACUGUAGCUAAUACCGGAUACUUUCCUCGCUGGGCAUCCAGCGGGGAAGAAAGAAUUUCGGUCAAGGAUGAGCUCGCGGCCUAUCAGCUAGUCGGUGAGGUAAAGGCUCACCAAGGCGACGACGGGUAGCCGGCCUGAGAGGGUGACCGGCCACACUGGAACUGAGACACGGUCCAGACUCCUACGGGAGGCAGCAGUGGGGAAUAUUGCACAAUGGGCGAAAGCCUGAUGCAGCAACGCCGCGUGAGGGAUGAAGGCCUUCGGGUUGUAAACCUCUUUUAGCAGGGAAGAAGCGAAAGUGACGGUACCUGCAGAAAAAGCACCGGCUAACUACGUGCCAGCAGCCGCGGUAAUACGUAGGGUGCAAGCGUUGUCCGGAAUUAUUGGGCGUAAAGAGCUCGUAGGCGGUUUGUCACGUCUGCUGUGAAAAUCCGAGGCUCAACCUCGGACUUGCAGUGGGUACGGGCAGGCUAGAGUGCGGUAGGGGAGAAGGGAAUUCCUGGUGUAGCGGUGGAAUGCGCAGAUAUCAGGAGGAACACCAAUGGCGAAGGCACUUCUCUGGGCCGUAACUGACGCUGAGGAGCGAAAGCGUGGGGAGCGAACAGGAUUAGAUACCCUGGUAGUCCAC